This 96-nucleotide small RNA is filed under the name Klebsiella pneumoniae. Its description in RNAcentral is "partial RtT sRNA". It matches the Rfam family "RtT RNA", at positions 37 to 130 of the family's 130-position model. From Rfam's summary of the family: This family represents a bacterial cis-regulatory element known as RtT RNA. The exact function of RtT is unknown although it is thought that it may be involved in changing the cellular response in relation to amino acid starvation. Lineage: Bacteria; Pseudomonadati; Pseudomonadota; Gammaproteobacteria; Enterobacterales; Enterobacteriaceae. The record is from RNAcentral.
UAAGGUUCGACUCGAGCGAAGCGAGAGAACGUUGCCGCAGGCAACGGCCCGAAGGGCGAGGCGCUUUAGCGCCGAGUAAUCCUUCCCCCACCACUG